This 464-nucleotide ribosomal RNA is filed under the name uncultured bacterium. Its description in RNAcentral is "partial 16S ribosomal RNA". It matches the Rfam family "Bacterial small subunit ribosomal RNA", at positions 28 to 507 of the family's 1533-position model. The record is from RNAcentral.
GACGAACGCUGGCGGCGUGCUUAACACAUGCAAGUCGAGCGGUAAGGCCUCUUCUGGGGUUCACGAGCGGCGCACGGGUGAGUAACACGUGGGUGACCUUCCCUCAUCUCUGGGAUAAGCCUGGGAAACUGGGUCUAAUUCCGGCUAUGACCACAUGUUGCAUGGUGUGUGGUGGAAAGUUUUUUCGGCUGGGGAUGGGCCCGAGGCCUAUCAGCUUGUUGGUGGGGUGAUGGCCUACCAAGGCGACGACGGGUAGCCGGCCUGAGAGGGGGACCGGCCACAAGGGGACUGCGGGAGGGAGCAGACUCGAACGGGAGGCAGCAGGGGGGAAUAUUGCGCAAUGGGCGGAAGCCUGACGAAGAGACGCCGCGUGGGGGAUGACGGCCUUCGGGUUGUAAACCGCUUUAGACCGGGACGAAGCGUAAGUGACGGUACCGGUAGAAGAAGCACCGGCCAACUACGUG